This 253-nucleotide ribosomal RNA is filed under the name uncultured bacterium. Its description in RNAcentral is "partial 16S ribosomal RNA". It matches the Rfam family "Bacterial small subunit ribosomal RNA", at positions 524 to 776 of the family's 1533-position model. The record is from RNAcentral.
UACGAAGGGGGCUAGCGUUGCUCGGAAUCACUGGGCGUAAAGGGCGCGUAGGCGGCCGAUUAAGUCGGGGGUGAAAGCCUGUGGCUCAACCACAGAAUUGCCUUCGAUACUGGUUGGCUUGAGACCGGAAGAGGACAGCGGAACUGCGAGUGUAGAGGUGAAAUUCGUAGAUAUUCGCAAGAACACCAGUGGCGAAGGCGGCUGUCUGGUCCGGUUCUGACGCUGAGGCGCGAAAGCGUGGGGAGCGAACAGG